UAUAAGUUUAUCAACGCUUUUUUAAGGCGAGGAUAUGGAUUUACAUUCUAUGAGACAUGCGUCGAUGAAUGAGACGUAAGGGACCCUGUUACGGGCCCUUACAUUAGGUUCACAGGUGUGUGUGGGAUUAAAGGCUCGGGUGUGCACAUGCCCCGAAAGGCCAGCUACAACCCUCGCCGGUAAUUCGAUAAUGAUCCUUCCGCAGGUUCACCUACGGAAA
This 220-nucleotide unclassified non-coding RNA is filed under the name uncultured fungus. RNAcentral's name for it is "sequence contains ITS1". The record is from RNAcentral. Lineage: Eukaryota; Fungi.